GCUCCCCGUCGCUAGGGCAACCAAGGAAGAGGUCAAGGUUAGGAGGUCAAGCCCUGCGGGGCCGGUGGCCGGGGAACAGAUCGCCCGCCCCCGUCAGGUUGGUCUCCCCGCGGCUCGCGGAGAUCUGGAGGAAAGGACUGGCCCAGGGAACUGCCACUCACAGCGGCAGCUCGGUGAGCCCGCCCCCCGCCCACGGCGCUCGGAAGACCCACCUCCUCUUUUUAAGACUAAGCGACGGAGGCCGCGAUUGGAGGCGCGGGCGGUGACGUGACUUUCCGCUUUGGCUGGCCUUCCGCUCGGGCAGCUCUCGGGAGGGGCUCGGGGGACAUUUAGCGGGGCUGCCCGGUCCCCCGGCCCUUGCAAGUGCGAUGAGGUCAGUUAGCUACGUGCAGCGCGUGGCCCUGGACUUUAGCGGGAGCCUCUUCCCGCACGCGAUCUGCCUCGGAGACGUCGACAACGACACGUUAAAUGAACUGGUGGUGGGAGACACCAGUGGGAAGCUGUUCGUGUAUAAGAAUGAUGACAGCCGGCCGUGGCUCACCUGUUCCUGCCAGGGCAUGCUGACUUGCGUUGGGGUUGGAGAUGUAUGUAAUAAAGGCAAGAACCUGGUGGUGGCAGUGAGUGCUGAAGGCUGGUUCCACCUGUGUGACCUGACGCCUGCCAAGGCCAUGGAUGCUUCCGGACACCAUGAGACCAUAAUGGGAGAGGAACAACAUCCAGUCUUCAAGCAGCACAUUCCUGCCAACACCAAGGUCAUGCUGAUCAGCGACAUCGAUGGAGAUGGGUGUUGCGAGCUGGUGGUAGGUUACACAGACCGUGUGGUCCGAGCUUUCCGCUGGGAAGAUCUGGGCGAGGGCACUGAACAUCCGACGGGGCAACUGGUGUCACUCAAGAAAUGGACACUGGAGGGUCAGGUGGACAGUCUUUCGGUGACUCCAGGACCCCUGGGUGUUCCGGAACUGAUGGUAUCUCAGCCAGGCUGUGCUUAUGCCAUCCUGCUGUGUACCUGGAACAAGGACAUGGAGCUGCCCCCCACCCCUGAGGAGGUCUCAGAGGGCAGUAGGGAGACCCCAGCUGCCCGAGACAUCAUGCUGCACCAGACUUCCGGCCGCAUCCACAACAAGAACGUCUCCACCCACCUCAUUGGCAACAUCCGAAGAAGUGAAGGCCACAGCUCUGAGAAGGGUGGCUCUGGCCUUUUUGCCCUCUGCACCCUGGAUGGGACUCUGAAGCUUAUGGAGGAAGCAGACAAGCUGUUGUGGUCCGUGCAGGUGGAUCACCAGCUUUUCGCCCUAGAGAAACUGGAUGUCACGGGCAAUGGGCAUGAGGAGGUGGUUGCCUGUGCCUGGGAUGGACAGACCUAUAUCAUUGAUCACAACCGCACCGUUGUCCGCUUCCAGGUGGACGAGAACAUCCGGGCCUUCUGUGCAGGCCUCUAUGCCUGCAAAGAGGGCCGCAACAGCCCCUGCCUCGUGUACGUCACGUUCAACCAGAAGAUCUAUGUGUACUGGGAGGUGCAACUUGAGCGGAUGGAGUCGACCAAUUUGUUGAAGCUGCUGGAGGCUGAGCCAGAGUUCCAGAGCCUCCUCCAGGAGCUGGGCGUGGAUCCUGAUGACAGCCCAGCUAUCCGCAACCUGCUUCACCAAACCCUCUAUCAUCCGGACCAGCCACCACAGUGUGCUCCUGCAAGCAUCCAUGAUCCCACCUAGCCAGACUUGCCAUCUUAGCUGAAGAAGGAGCCUCCUGAACUACCCCAGCCCCCAAGGUUUAUUUAUUUUUAGUAACCUCUGCACCCAGUGUGGGGCUGAACUCAAGACUGCGAGUCGCAUGCUGUUCUGAUACGCCAGCCAGGUACCCCCUCCACCAAGUCAUUUUUUAACCUGAAAUUUAUAGAACUCAACAAACCAAUUCAUUAACAAGGAAUAACUACAUUGAACGCUAAUGAUGAGACACAGGUGGAGAAAACUUUCAGGAGCACUACUGAGGAAGAUUAAACCAGUCUUCUAUUGUUAGGAAUAGAAGCAACCUAGGAGAUUUUCCUUUCCAAGCCACUUGGGAAAUGUCUCUAAUUUCUCUCAUUUAUUUCACCUUGUGGUUCACAUAGAUGUUGAAGCAAAUGGACCCCAAAUCAGGAAUUUUGUGAGAAAAAAAAUGGAAGCUUGGGAUUUGGCUCUCUCGCUGCAUCAGUUCUCUGAAUUAUAGCAAGUUUUCCUUUUGUUCAGUCAAAAACUAUUGGGUACCUACUAUAUGUCAGACACUGAGGUAGGCUCUGGGCACACAGUGGUGGACCAGAUGCAGACCCCGCUCUCAUGGAGUUCACAUUCUAAUGAAGAAGGCAGACAAUAAACAGCCACAUUUAUCUUGUCAAGUAGUGGUAAGUGCUGAAGACAAAUAGAGCAGGAUGAGAGGAGACAGAGCCAUGGGCGUUGGGGUGUGGGUAGACGAUGUCGGGCAGAGAUGAGAAGGUGAGGGAGAGGCUGUGCUCAUUGCUGGAGGAAGAGGGUCACAGACAGAGAACUCGGGAUGCUUGCAGGUAAGAUAGGCUGGGCUGGGACAGUGCUUGUCCCUACACACACCCAGGACAGGGUAGAUCUGCCCCUCUCCCUCCCCGCUGUCCAGCCUGGCUUCUCCGGUGACCAGUCACUCACACCAGGAACACUGGCUGGGAUAAAGAACAUUGUCUCCUGCCAUGGAGAGAAUCAAGCUAUCUCAUCUACCCAAGAUGGAACCCUUUCUCCUGGCUUUUCCCACCUGGGUUAACAAGCCGCCAAACCCUGAGUCCCACAGAUGUGAGUUGGGAUUCCCUCCACUGAAAGAAUACACAGAACACUGCCUGUGAGUUCUAGAACAGUCAGAGGGUGAUGGGUCUUUGUAUUUCUAGCAACAAGGGAGGCUGAGAGGGGCUCCAAGCAUAAGGUUUUCUUGGUUUUCACCCUCAAGGGUCUGGGUCUUCCAGAGAACUUUCUGCCUUUAGAGAAAACCAGGCCACAUCUUAUAUUUGCCAUCUGGUGUCAGACAAUCAUUAGUAAGUCUAGAUUUGUGCUGGCCAAGACAGCAGUCACCAGCUACAUGUAUGUGGUUAUCGAGCACUUGAGGUGUGGCUAGUCUAAAGAGAGCUUUGCUGUACAUGUAAAAUAUACACCAGAUGUAUUGAACACAAUACAAGAAACAAUGUGAAAUACCUCAAUUAUUUUUCCAUGGUUUACAUUAUUUUAUGUUGAUAAUAUUUUGGAUCUAUUGUAUUCAAUAAAAUAUGUUAUAAAAAUGAA
Nyctereutes procyonoides (raccoon dog) is the source of this 3269-nucleotide RNA transcript. It is a transcript of the gene named integrin alpha FG-GAP repeat containing 2, with no coding region annotated. The record is from RefSeq and is a predicted model, not a curated record. The transcript is spliced from 13 exons. NCBI's taxonomy places the organism in Eukaryota, Metazoa, Chordata, Mammalia, Carnivora, Canidae.